GACGAACGCUGGCGGCGCGCCUAACACAUGCAAGUCGAACGGAGCUAAGAGAAGCUUGCUUUUCUUAGCUUAGUGGCGAACGGGUGAGUAACGCGUGAGUAACCUGCCCUGGAGUGGGGGACAACAGUUGGAAACGACUGCUAAUACCGCAUAAGCCCACGAUCCGGCAUCGGAUUGAGGGAAAAGGAUUUAUUCGCUUCAGGAUGGACUCGCGUCCAAUUAGCUAGUUGGUGAGGUAACGGCCCACCAAGGCGACGAUUGGUAGCCGGACUGUGAGGUUGAACGGCCACAUUGGGACUGGGACACGGCCCAGACUCCUACGGGAAGCAGCAGUGGGUGAUAUUGCACAAUGGGGGAAACCCUGAUGCAGCGCCGCCGCGUGGAGGAAGAAGGUUUUCGGAUUGUAAACUCCUGUCGUUAGGGACGAUAAUGACGGUACCUAACAAGAAAGCACCGGCUAACUACGUG
This 468-nucleotide ribosomal RNA is filed under the name uncultured bacterium. Its description in RNAcentral is "partial 16S ribosomal RNA". It matches the Rfam family "Bacterial small subunit ribosomal RNA", at positions 28 to 507 of the family's 1533-position model. The record is from RNAcentral.